Molecule: transfer RNA, 71 nt
Filed under: Heterocephalus glaber (naked mole-rat)
Lineage: Eukaryota; Metazoa; Chordata; Mammalia; Rodentia; Bathyergidae
Rfam family: tRNA
About the family: Transfer RNA (tRNA) molecules are approximately 80 nucleotides in length. Their secondary structure includes four short double-helical elements and three loops (D, anti-codon, and T loops). Further hydrogen bonds mediate the characteristic L-shaped molecular structure. tRNAs have two regions of fundamental functional importance: the anti-codon, which is responsible for specific mRNA codon recognition, and the 3' end, to which the tRNAs corresponding amino acid is attached (by aminoacyl-tRNA synthetases). tRNAs cope with the degeneracy of the genetic code in two manners: having more than one tRNA (with a specific anti-codon) for a particular amino acid; and 'wobble' base-pairing, i.e. permitting non-standard base-pairing at the 3rd anti-codon position.
Source: Rfam by way of RNAcentral
AAGGGUGUGGCUUAGUGGUAGAGCACCUGCCUAGCAUGCAGAAGGCUCUGGAUUCCAUCCCGGCAUUGUGU